AUUGAACGCUGGCGGCAGGCCUAACACAUGCAAGUCGAGCGGAUGAAGGGAGCUUGCUCCUGGAUUCAGCGGCGGACGGGUGAGUAAUGCCUAGGAAUCUGCCUGGUAGUGGGGGAUAACGUCCGGAAACGGGCGCUAAUACCGCAUACGUCCUGAGGGAGAAAGUGGGGGAUCUUCGGACCUCACGCUAUCAGAUGAGCCUAGGUCGGAUUAGCUAGUUGGUGGGGUAAAGGCCUACCAAGGCGACGAUCCGUAACUGGUCUGAGAGGAUGAUCAGUCACACUGGAACUGAGACAAGGUCCAGAAUACUACGGGAGGCAGCAGUGGGGAAUAUUGGACAAUGGGCGAAAGCCUGAUCCAGCCAUGACGCGUGUGUGAAGAAGGUCUUCGGAUUGUAAAGCACUUUAAGUUGGGAGGAAGGGCAGUAAGUUAAUACCUUGCUGUGUUGACGUUACCAACAGAAUAAGCACCGGCUAACUUCGUG
RNAcentral lists this ribosomal RNA (484 nucleotides) under uncultured bacterium. RNAcentral's name for it is "partial 16S ribosomal RNA". It matches the Rfam family "Bacterial small subunit ribosomal RNA", at positions 30 to 507 of the family's 1533-position model. The record is from RNAcentral.